Molecule: long non-coding RNA, 449 nt
Organism: Rhagoletis zephyria (snowberry fruit fly)
Lineage: Eukaryota; Metazoa; Arthropoda; Insecta; Diptera; Tephritidae
Source: RefSeq, a predicted model, not a curated record
UAUUUGCUAAUUUUUGCGAUUUCUAUUGUUUAAUGUAAAUUCGUCUUUUUAGGAUAUGUCGAGCCAACAAAGAAAGCGCAGUUGGAAAAUUGAGUAAUUAGUAAUGAAGUAGCAAGCAUAUUUGGAAAAUUAUGCCGAUAAGCAGGAUGGAAUUUGGGAAAAAAUGUUAUAAAUCGAGUGGCUCAUUUACGAUGCGCUCCAAACAUUUGGCGAACUUUUUUUCGCCUUUUCAACGUGCUAAGUAACAAGUUAAGAUGACUGCCAUCACGGCCGGUAAGAAACCGCAAGCAAAGGGCAGACAACCUUCCAGGAAGCUGCCUCCUGUCCCCGAGCCGAAGCUGCAGUUCAGCUAGAGCAGGUCAGCAAAUUGCUACCCUGAUCAAACGUAAACUAAAGCGCUCUGCUGUGAUUGCACUCCGUAAAUGUGAAAACUUGGUGCAUGCUGAGAA